GACGAACGCUGGCGGCGUGCUUAACACAUGCAAGUCGAACGGAAAGGCCCUGCUUUUGUGGGGUGCUCGAGUGGCGAACGGGUGAGUAACACGUGAGUAACCUGCCCUUGACUUUGGGAUAACUUCAGGAAACUGGGGCUAAUACCGGAUAGGAGCUCCUGCUGCAUGGUGGGGGUUGGAAAGUUUCGGCGGUUGGGGAUGGACUCGCGGCGUAUCAGCUUGUUGGUGGGGUAGUGGCUUACCAAGGCUUUGACGGGUAGCCGGCCUGAGAGGGUGACCGGCCACAUUGGGACUGAGAUACGGCCCAGACUCCUACGGGAGGCAGCAGUGGGGAAUAUCGCACAAUGGGCGGAAGCCUGAUGCAGCAACGCCGCGUGCGGGAUGACGGCCUUCGGGUUGUAAACCGCUUUCGCCUGUGACGAAGCGUGAGUGACGGUAAUGGGUAAAGAAGCACCGGCUAACUACGUG
This 468-nucleotide ribosomal RNA is filed under the name uncultured bacterium. RNAcentral's name for it is "partial 16S ribosomal RNA". It matches the Rfam family "Bacterial small subunit ribosomal RNA", at positions 28 to 507 of the family's 1533-position model. The record is from RNAcentral.